RNAcentral lists this ribosomal RNA (271 nucleotides) under uncultured bacterium. RNAcentral describes it as "partial 16S ribosomal RNA". The record is from RNAcentral.
CUGCUGCCUUCCGUAGGAGUUUGGACCGUGUCUCAGUUCCAAUGUGGGGGACCUUCCCCUCAGAACCCCUACUGAUCGUCGCCCCGGUGGGCCGUUACCCCGCCGGCAAGCUAAUCAGACGCAUCCCCAUCCUUUACCGGCCGAAGCCUUUGGUCAUGAAAAUAUGCAUCAACAUGACAACAUACGGUAUUAAUCCGCCUUUCGACGGGCUGUCCCAUAGUAAAGGGCAGGUUGGAUACGCGUUACUCACCCGUGCGCCGGUCGCCAUCAA